RNAcentral lists this ribosomal RNA (484 nucleotides) under uncultured bacterium. RNAcentral's name for it is "partial 16S ribosomal RNA". It matches the Rfam family "Bacterial small subunit ribosomal RNA", at positions 28 to 523 of the family's 1533-position model. The record is from RNAcentral.
GAUGAACGCUGGCGGCGUGCUUAACACAUGCAAGUCGAACGGUGAAGCAGGAGCUUGCUCUUGUGGAUCAGUGGCGAACGGGUGAGUAACACGUGAGCAACCUGCCCCUGACUCUGGGAUAAGCGCUGGAAACGGCGUCUAAUACUGGAUAUGUGAUGUGACCGCAUGGUCUGCAUCUGGAAAGAAUUUCGGUUGGGGAUGGGCUCGCGGCCUAUCAGCUUGUUGGUGAGGUAAUGGCUCACCAAGGCGUAGACGGUUAGCCGGCCGGGGAGGGUGACCGGCCACACUGGGACUGAGCACCGGCCCAGACUCCUACGGGAGGCAGCAGUGGGGAAUAUUGUACAAUGGGCGGAAGCCUGAUGCAGCAACGCCGCGUGAGGGAUGACGGCCUUCGGGUUGUAAACCUCUUUUAGCAGGGAAGAAGCGAAAGUGACGGUACCUGCAGAAAAAGCACCGGCUAACUACGUGCCAGCCGCCGCCGUAA